Molecule: long non-coding RNA, 1010 nt
Organism: Oncorhynchus tshawytscha (Chinook salmon)
Lineage: Eukaryota; Metazoa; Chordata; Actinopteri; Salmoniformes; Salmonidae
Source: Ensembl
CUGGUUUAGAGAGAGUUCUGGUUUAGAGAGAGCUCUGGUUUAGAGAGAGCUCUGGUUUUGAGAGAGCUCUGGUUUAGAGAGAGCUCUGGUUUAGAGAGAGUUCUGGUUUAGAGAGAGCUCUGGUUUAGAGAGAGCUCUGGUUAAGAGAGAGCUCUGGUUUAGAGAGAGCUCUGGUUUAGAGAGCUCUGGUUAGGAGAGAGCUCUGGUUUAGAGAGAGCUCCGGUUAGGAGAGAGCGGUUAGGAGGUAGGACUGUUCCGUUAGGAGGUAGGACCGUUCCGUUAGGAGGGAGGACUGUUCCGUUAGGAGGGAGGAACGUUCUGUUAGGAGGUAGGACUGUACCGUUAGGAGGUAGGACCGUUCCGUUAGGAGGUAGGACUGUUCCGUUAGGAGUUAGGACCGUUCUGUUAGGAGGUAGGACACUUCCGUUAGGAGGUAGGACACUUCCGUUAGGAGGUAGGAUACAUCCGUUAGGAGGUAGGACUGUUCCGUUAGGAGGCAGGACACUUCGGUUAGGAGGUAGGACUGUUCCGUUAGGAGGUAGGACACUUCGGUUAGGAGGUAGGACUGUUCCGUUAGGAGGUAGGACACUUCGGUUAGAAGGUAGGACCGUUCCGUUAGGAGGUAGGACCGUUCCGUUAGGAGGUAGGACACUUCCGUUAGAAGGUAGGACACUUCCGUUAGAAGGUAGGACCGUUCUGUUAGGAGGUAGGACCGUUCCGUUAGGAGGUAGGACUGUUCCGUUAGGAGGUAGGACCGGUCCGUUAGGAGGUAGGACCGUUCUGUUAGGAGGUAGGACACUUCCGUUAGGAGUUAGGACCGUUCUGUUAGGAGGUAGGACUGUUCCGUUAGGAGGUAGGACUGUUCCGUUAGGAGGUAGGACCGGUCCGUUAGGAGGUAGGACCGGUCCGUUAGGAGGUAGGACCGUUCUGUUAGGAGGUAGGACACUUCCGUUAGGAGUUAGGACCGUUCUGUUAGGAGGUAGGACACUUCUGUUAGGAGGUAGGAUACA